CCCUGGCUGGUUCAGUUGGUAGAGCAUGUGACUCUUAAUCUCAGGGUUGUGAGUUCAAGUCCCAUGUUAGGUA
Molecule: transfer RNA, 73 nt
Filed under: Felis catus (domestic cat)
Lineage: Eukaryota; Metazoa; Chordata; Mammalia; Carnivora; Felidae
Rfam family: tRNA
About the family: Transfer RNA (tRNA) molecules are approximately 80 nucleotides in length. Their secondary structure includes four short double-helical elements and three loops (D, anti-codon, and T loops). Further hydrogen bonds mediate the characteristic L-shaped molecular structure. tRNAs have two regions of fundamental functional importance: the anti-codon, which is responsible for specific mRNA codon recognition, and the 3' end, to which the tRNAs corresponding amino acid is attached (by aminoacyl-tRNA synthetases). tRNAs cope with the degeneracy of the genetic code in two manners: having more than one tRNA (with a specific anti-codon) for a particular amino acid; and 'wobble' base-pairing, i.e. permitting non-standard base-pairing at the 3rd anti-codon position.
Source: Rfam by way of RNAcentral